RNAcentral lists this unclassified non-coding RNA (387 nucleotides) under soil metagenome. RNAcentral describes it as "partial contains 5.8S ribosomal RNA, internal transcribed spacer 2, and large subunit ribosomal RNA". The stretch from base 1 to 120 matches the Rfam family "5.8S ribosomal RNA", at positions 35 to 154 of the family's 154-position model. The record is from RNAcentral.
GAUGAAGAACGCAGCGAAAUGCGAUAAGUAAUGUGAAUUGCAGAAUUCAGUGAAUCAUCGAAUCUUUGAACGCACCUUGCGCUCCUUGGUAUUCCGAGGAGCAUGCCUGUUUGAGUGUCAUGAAAUUCUCAACCUUUUCAGCUUUCUUUGUUGAUCAGGCUUGGAUGUGGGAGUAUGCGGGCUUCUCAGAAGUCGGCUCUCCUGAAAUGCAUUAGCGGGACCUUUGUUGCCUGGCUUUGGUGUGAUAAUUAUCUACGCCAUUGUAGUCAAGCAGCUUAAAAUGAGGUUUCAGCUUCUAACCGUCUCCCCUGAGACAACUUUUUGACAAUUUGACCUCAAAUCAGGUAGGACUACCCGCUGAACUUAAGCAUAUCACUAAGCGGAGGA